RNAcentral lists this ribosomal RNA (253 nucleotides) under uncultured bacterium. RNAcentral describes it as "partial 16S ribosomal RNA". It matches the Rfam family "Bacterial small subunit ribosomal RNA", at positions 524 to 776 of the family's 1533-position model. The record is from RNAcentral.
UACGUAGGGGGCAAGCGUUGUCCGGAUUUAUUGGGCGUAAAGAGCGUGUAGGCGGCCAGACAGGUCUGCUGUGAAAACUCGAGGCUCAACCUCGAGACGCCGGUGGAAACCGUCUGGCUAGAGUCCGGAAGAGGAGAGUGGAAUUCCUGGUGUAGCGGUGAAAUGCGCAGAUAUCAGGAAGAACACCCGUGGCUAAGGCGGCUCUCUAGUACGGUACUGACGCUGAGGCGCGAAAGCGUGGGGAGCGAACAGG